Long non-coding RNA from Vespula pensylvanica (western yellowjacket), 929 nucleotides. RefSeq lists it as uncharacterized. The transcript is spliced from 3 exons. The record is from RefSeq and is a predicted model, not a curated record. Lineage: Eukaryota; Metazoa; Arthropoda; Insecta; Hymenoptera; Vespidae.
AGAAUAUGACAACAGCCAUCAUCUCAAAGCCAUGAACAACAUUUUAUCAAACUGAAAAAGAAAAUAUACAAUAGUCAGCAUGCAUCAUUCCACGAAUAUAUUGGUAGAUAUAAAAAUCGAAGGAUAAUCGUCUAGACACAGAUCAUUUCUUCAAGGAAUUGGCCAUCAAUCUGUAUUGUAUUAUUGAAGAAGUUACGUGACAAAAAAAGGAGUCAUCAUGUCAGGACCAUCGGGACAAAAUAAUACCGAUUUUCGGUCGAUAAAAUAUUGUAAAAAUGGGAAAAUGGAGGAAGGCGGAAUUGGAAGGGUCAAAGUUCGACAGACAAAUGCUAAUGGCAAUGACAAUGACGAAAAGAGGAAAUGGCCGGCAUUGUGUGACGCGAAUCCGUAUAUAGUCGAUCUUUUGAAUAAUCUUUUCAAAAAAGAAGAAACACCCAACGAGUCACCAACAACUGAUUAAUAUUCGGCUUAACUAUUUUUCUAUCAAGUUUUUAAAUGUUAUUGAGAUAAUCAGUAAAAAUAAAUCGGACGUAAAAUAUUUUCGUUUUGUUUUGAAUGUAACUUCUUGCAAAUCUAAUUUCUUACAAGCGCAUAAAUUGUCCAGAAUUAUACACAUAUACACAUAUAUAAUACUUUCUUUUUGUCACUUUUGUGUAAAUAAAAUAAAAGCAAAGGAAAUGUACAAAAGAAUAGAUUUACAUUAGCGUAAGUAUACUAAGGUGAUUUUUAAAUCUUUUUCUUACUGAACCUUCUCUUCUGACUUUUAUCUUUUAUCUCAAAUGCAUAAUUCAAGAAAAGCAAGACACAACUAUUGGUUAACUUCGUGACGAGUAGCUUUCGACGGGAACAAAUCUUCGAAAAAAUAAAUAUUUUAGACUGAAAUAAAUGCUAUUUUAACAUGUAAUGUGAAUAAAAUUUAUUUUCAAGGA